GUUUUAAUAGUUUAAUUAAAAUAUUGAUUUUGUAAAUCAAAGAUAAAUAAUCUUUUAAAACA
Molecule: transfer RNA, 62 nt
Filed under: Tychobythinus sp. 1 EF-2015
Lineage: Eukaryota; Metazoa; Arthropoda; Insecta; Coleoptera; Staphylinidae
Description: tRNA-Thr
Source: RNAcentral